AGUGAACGCUGGCGGCAGGCCUAACACAUGCAAGUCGAGCGGCAGCGCGGGGGCAACCCUGGCGGCGAGCGGCGGACGGGUGAGGAAUUCGUCGGAAUCUGCCUUUUUGUGGGGGAUAACGUAGGGAAACUUACGCUAAUACCGCAUACGUCCUACGGGAGAAAGUGGGGGACCGCAAGGCCUCACGCAGAAAGAUGAGCCGACGACCGAUUAGCUAGUUGGUGGGGUAAAGGCCCACCAAGGCGACGAUCGGUAGCUGGUCUGAGAGGAUGAUCAGCCACACUGGGACUGAGACACGGCCCAGACUCCUACGGGAGGCAGCAGUGGGGAAUAUUGGACAAUGGGCGCAAGCCUGAUCCAGCCAUGCCGCGUGUGUGAAGAAGGCCUUCGGGUUGUAAAGCACUUUUGUCCGGAAAGAAAUCCCUGGAGCUAGUACCUUCGGGGGAUGACGGUACCGGAAGAAUAAGCACCGGCUAACUUCGUG
This 484-nucleotide ribosomal RNA is filed under the name uncultured bacterium. Its description in RNAcentral is "partial 16S ribosomal RNA". It matches the Rfam family "Bacterial small subunit ribosomal RNA", at positions 29 to 507 of the family's 1533-position model. The record is from RNAcentral.